Molecule: long non-coding RNA, 862 nt
Organism: Bos taurus (domestic cattle)
Lineage: Eukaryota; Metazoa; Chordata; Mammalia; Artiodactyla; Bovidae
Source: Ensembl
AAACAAAACUGAUGGGCCCGAGGUUGCUGCGUGGGUUUCUAGUUUGUGCACUGCACGAUGGGCCUGGCCAGGCAGGGGGUCAAGCCCUUCCGUCUGUGGACCUUUUCCCAAGUUCUCUCUUCUUGAACGAUGGAGAAGGAAAUGGCAACCCACUCCGGUAUUCUUGCCUGGAGAGGCCUACGGAUAGAGGAGCCUGGUGGGCUGCUGUCCAUAGGGUCACACAGAGUCGGGCAUGACUGAGCAACUUCACUUUCACUUUUCACUCUCAUGCAUUGGAGAGGAAAUGGCAACCCACUCCAGUGUUCUUGCCUGGAGAAUCCCAGCCUGGUGAGCUGCUGUCUAUGGGAUCGCACAGAGUCGGACACAACUGAAGCGACUUAGGAGCAGCAGCAGCUUCUUGAAAGAUGCCCUUCAGUGCUUCAUUCCUGCUUCAACUAAGUUCUGCUGGUACUUCAGUUUCCACUUGCAAGGGCCUUUGGAAGCCUUUCCCGACCUCAAGAUUAAAGUCCUCCUCUCCCUGUACCCUAGCAGGGUAGUAGCUUGCUGUACAGCAACUGCUUGUUAACUUCUCGAUCUCCUCCAUCGCCUGAAAGCUCUUAGAGGACAGGAUUCAUGUACAGUGCAUUGUAUUCCCAGGAGUUAGGAGGGUCUAAUCCUUAUUAGCUACGUACAAAACAUCUGUUGAACAAACGGUUGCAAAUGAAUAGUAACUUAAAGAAAGGCUACAUUUCUGAGGUAAUGCUAAUUGCUUGUAGGAUAGUUAAAUGUCAGUAUUGAAACCUAAUCUUUAGCUGCUGUCUUGCAGAUAAAACGGAUGUUCACCAAGUAUGUAUUUUGUAUUUUGUUGCACUGUACACCCCAA